Molecule: ribosomal RNA, 253 nt
Filed under: uncultured bacterium
Lineage: Bacteria
Description: partial 16S ribosomal RNA
Rfam family: Bacterial small subunit ribosomal RNA
Source: RNAcentral
UACGUAGGGGGCGAGCGUUGUCCGGAUUUAUUGGGCGUAAAGAGCGUGUAGGCGGCCAGGUAGGUCUGCUGUGAAAACUCGAGGCUCAACCUCGAGACGUCGGCGGAAACCGUCUGGCUAGAGUCCGGAAGAGGAGAGUGGAAUUCCUGGUGUAGCGGUGAAAUGCGCAGAUAUCAGGAAGAACACCUAUGGCGAAGGCAGCUCUCUGGGACGGUACUGACGCUGAGACGCGAAAGCGUGGGGAGCGAACAGG